Molecule: ribosomal RNA, 225 nt
Filed under: uncultured bacterium
Lineage: Bacteria
Description: partial 16S ribosomal RNA
Rfam family: Bacterial small subunit ribosomal RNA
Source: RNAcentral
AGUAGCCGGCCUGAGAGGGUGAACGGCCACAUUGGGACUGAGACACGGCCCAGACUCCUACGGGAGGCAGCAGUGGGGAAUAUUGCACAAUGGGGGAAACCCUGAUGCAGCGACGCCGCGUGAAGGAAGAAGUAUAUCGGUAUGUAUACUUCUAUCAGCCGGGAAGAAAAUGACGGUACCUGACUAAGAAGCCCCGGCUAACUCCGUGCCAGCAGCCGCGGUAAU